CUUAAUCAUCAAAGACCUGCCUGCGACGCAGGAGGUUGCGGGUUCGAUUCCCGC
Molecule: transfer RNA, 54 nt
Filed under: Operophtera brumata (winter moth)
Lineage: Eukaryota; Metazoa; Arthropoda; Insecta; Lepidoptera; Geometridae
Rfam family: tRNA
About the family: Transfer RNA (tRNA) molecules are approximately 80 nucleotides in length.
Source: Rfam by way of RNAcentral